This is a long non-coding RNA of Cryptotermes secundus, 348 nucleotides long. RefSeq lists it as uncharacterized. The record is from RefSeq and is a predicted model, not a curated record. The transcript has 2 exons. Lineage: Eukaryota; Metazoa; Arthropoda; Insecta; Blattodea; Kalotermitidae.
UGACAGACGUUUCAAAUUUUUUGUAUGAUUAUUGUGUGAGAAAAAAAAAUCGGAGACCUUAGAACUUGAACGCACAAUGUAGAAGAGAAGAUGACAUUAGAGUUUUAGCUGCUGUGCAUUGUGAAAUUAACAAAGAAAGCAACCAUAUCCCUGGUAAAGUAUUCGUCCUUCUGCUUGGAUGAAAUAAAAAUUUAUAUGCAGUAGGUCACUUGACCAGUUAGGCCAUUAAGCGUGGUGCAGGAGAUCAUGAAUAUAAAAGAGAAAAUCCUGUCAUGAUGUAAACUAAUAAUUUUAUGUGCCUCUAUUACAUGGUGUCUGGAAAUUGUGAGGCCAUGUUUCUGUAAUGAA